AAGGGCGAGGAACACGUGGGCAACCUGUCUACGUGAAGGUGGGGGAAAACCGCUGGAAACGGCGGUCUAAUACCGAAUGUAGCGCCCGACUCGCAUGAGCGGAGCGCCAAAGGGGCGAAAGCUCCCCUCUCCGGAGGGGCCCGCGCACCAUCAGCUUGUUGGCGGGGUAACGGCCCACAAGGCUCACGGUUAGCUGGUCUGAGAGGAUGGCCAGCCGCACUGGGACUGAGAUACUGCCCAGACUCCUACGGGAGGCUGCAGUCGAGGAUCAUUUGCAAUGGGCGAAAGCCUGACAAUGCGACGCUGCGUGGAGGAUGAAGGCCCUCGGGUUGUAAACUCCUGUCAUGGGGGAAAAGGAAACGGGACCCAACACGUCCCCGAUUUGAUGGUACCCCAAGAGGAAGCGACGGCUAACUCUGUGCCAGCAGCCGC
Molecule: ribosomal RNA, 432 nt
Filed under: uncultured bacterium
Lineage: Bacteria
Description: bacterial SSU rRNA
Rfam family: Bacterial small subunit ribosomal RNA
Source: RNAcentral